UUAAAGAAAUAUGCAAAAGUAAGCUUCUAACUUAUUAUAAAAGCAGUGUAAUUCUGUUUGUAUUUCU
RNAcentral lists this transfer RNA (67 nucleotides) under Denticollis sp. UPOL RK0006. RNAcentral describes it as "partial tRNA-Ser". The record is from RNAcentral. Lineage: Eukaryota; Metazoa; Arthropoda; Insecta; Coleoptera; Elateridae.